CCUAACGGAGGUGUAGAUUACAUCUCACAUUCCAGUGUUCCUAAUGGAGGUGUAGAUUACAUCACACAUUACAGUGUUCCUAAUGGAGGUGUAGAUUACAUCUCACAUUCCAGUGUUCCUAAUGGAGGUGUAGAUUACAUCUCACAUUCCAGUGUUCCUAAUAGAGGUGUAGAUUACAUCACACAUUCCAGUGUUCCUAAUGGAGGUGUAGAUUACAUCUCACAUUCCAGUGUUCCUAAUAGAGGUAUAGAUUACAUCUCACAUUCCAGUGUUCCUAAUAUAGGUGUAGAUUACAUCUCACAUUCCAGUGUUCC
This is a long non-coding RNA of Oncorhynchus tshawytscha (Chinook salmon), 314 nucleotides long. The record is from Ensembl. NCBI's taxonomy places the organism in Eukaryota, Metazoa, Chordata, Actinopteri, Salmoniformes, Salmonidae.